RNAcentral lists this ribosomal RNA (558 nucleotides) under uncultured Methanomicrobiales archaeon. RNAcentral's name for it is "bacterial SSU rRNA". It matches the Rfam family "Archaeal small subunit ribosomal RNA", at positions 174 to 737 of the family's 1478-position model. Lineage: Archaea; Methanobacteriati; Methanobacteriota; Methanomicrobia; Methanomicrobiales. The record is from RNAcentral.
AAUGCCCCCUAGCUCAAAGGUCCGCCGCCACAGGAUGGGUCUGCGGCCGAUUAGGUUGUUGUUGGGGUAACGGCCCAACAAGCCUUUGAUCGGUACGGGUUGUGGGAGCAAGAGCCCGGAGAUGGAUUCUGAGACACGAAUCCAGGCCCUACGGGGCGCAGCAGGCGCGAAAACUUUACAAUGCGAGAAAUCGUGAUAAGGGAACCCCGAGUGCCCGUAAAUUCGGGCUGUCCGCCAGUGCAAAAAACUGGUGAAGAAAGGGCCGGGCAAGACCGGUGCCAGCCGCCGCGGUAAUACCGGCGGCUCGAGUGGUGGCCACUAUUACUGGGCUUAAAGCGUCCGUAGCUUGGUUGUUAAGUCUCCUGGGAAAUCCAUCGGCUCAACCGAUGGGCGUUCAGGAGAUACUGGCAACCUAGGGACCGGGAGAGGUGAGAGGUACUCCAGGGGUAGGGGUGAAAUCUUGUAAUCCUUGAAGGACCACCAGUGGCGAAGGCGUCUCACCAGAACGGGCCUGACGGCAAGGGACGAAAGCUAGGGGCACGAACCGGAUUAGAUACC